RNAcentral lists this ribosomal RNA (595 nucleotides) under Sporobolomyces roseus. RNAcentral describes it as "partial large subunit ribosomal RNA". It matches the Rfam family "Eukaryotic large subunit ribosomal RNA", at positions 33 to 634 of the family's 3401-position model. Lineage: Eukaryota; Fungi; Basidiomycota; Microbotryomycetes; Sporidiobolales; Sporidiobolaceae. The record is from RNAcentral.
UUUUUGCAUAUCAAUAAGCGGAGGAAAAGAAACUAACAAGGAUUCCCCUAGUAGCGGCGAGCGAAGCGGGAAAAGCUCAAAUUUGUAAUCUGGCGUCUACGACGUCCGAGUUGUAAUCUCGAGAAGUGUUUUCCGUGAUAGACCGCAUACAAGUCUCUUGGAACAGAGCGUCAUAGUGGUGAGAACCCAGUACACGAUGCGGAUGCCUAUUACUUUGUGAUACACUUUCGAAGAGUCGAGUUGUUUGGGAAUGCAGCUCAAAUUGGGUGGUAAAUUCCAUCUAAAGCUAAAUAUUGGCGAGAGACCGAUAGCGAACAAGUACCGUGAGGGAAAGAUGAAAAGCACUUUGGAAAGAGAGUUAACAGUACGUGAAAUUGUUGGAAGGGAAACACAUGCAGCCAGACUUGCUAUUCGGGGCAACUCGAUUGGCAGGCCCGCAUCAGUUUUUCGGGGCGGAAAAGCAUAGAGAGAAGGUAGCAAUUUCGGUUGUGUUAUAGCUCUUUAUUGGAUUCGCCCUGGGGGACUGAGGAACGCAGCGUGCUUUUAGCAUAAGCUUCGGCUUAUCCACGCUAGGAUGCGGUAACGCCUGGAGGGU